This is a long non-coding RNA of Bradysia coprophila, 366 nucleotides long. Lineage: Eukaryota; Metazoa; Arthropoda; Insecta; Diptera; Sciaridae. The record is from RefSeq and is a predicted model, not a curated record.
UUUUUAAACUUUUAUGCUUUUUUUGGAUUAUUAUUUUUGGCUUAGUGCUGCAAAAUACUUUGUGCAACAGAUUUGUGACUGUGAUUGCAAAAUUGGUUAGUUUUUGUAAAUUGUUGCGCUUUCGUUAAUACUCUUUCACUAUCACUGCCCCAUUUUACCACAAUCCAAUCCAAUCAGACAAUUGAUCCAUCACAAAGCUGAAUCAAAUUGUUGCCGAUGCGAAUGACUUCACAAAUGAUCUUAUCACUGUAAUGAAGUUCAACGGGUCCGGUUGUUUUACAACUUUUUGAAAUAACGUCCCAUUUAUACGUAACAAAUUUAACCUAAUAUGACAGUGCAACAUAAAAAGUGUGCUACACCAAGGCA